RNAcentral lists this ribosomal RNA (301 nucleotides) under uncultured bacterium. RNAcentral describes it as "partial 16S ribosomal RNA". It matches the Rfam family "Bacterial small subunit ribosomal RNA", at positions 509 to 807 of the family's 1533-position model. The record is from RNAcentral.
CAGCCGCCGCGGUAAUACGAAGGGUGCAAGCGUUAAUCGGAAUUACUGGGCGUAAAGCGUGCGUAGGCGGUUUGUUAAGUCUGCUGUGAAAUCCCCGGGCUCAACCUGGGAAUGGCAGUGGAUACUGGCAAGCUAGAGUGUGUCAGAGGAUGGUGGAAUUCCCGGUGUAGCGGUGAAAUGCGUAGAGAUCGGGAGGAACAUCAGUGGCGAAGGCGGCCAUCUGGGACAACACUGAUGCUGAGGCACGAAAGCGUGGGGAGCAAACAGGAUUAGAUACCCCCGUAGUCCCUGUCUCUUAUAC